Molecule: ribosomal RNA, 458 nt
Filed under: uncultured bacterium
Lineage: Bacteria
Description: partial 16S ribosomal RNA
Rfam family: Bacterial small subunit ribosomal RNA
Source: RNAcentral
CCUACGGGAGGCAGCAGUGAGGAAUAUUGGUCAAUGGGCGAGAGCCUGAACCAGCCAAGUCGCGUGAGGGAGUACUGCCCUAUGGGUUGUAAACCUCUUUUGUCGGGGAGCAAAAGCCGGACGUGUCCGGCUGUGAGAGUACCCGAAGAAAAAGCAUCGGCUAACUCCGUGUCAGCAGCCGCGGUAAUACGGAGGAUGCGAGCGUUAUCCGGAUUUAUUGGGUUUAAAGGGUGCGCAGGCGGAUUUUUAAGUCAGCGGUAAAAUCGUGGGGCUCAACCCCAUCCAGCCGUUGAAACUGGGGAUCUAGAGUGUGCGAGAGGUAUGCGGAAUGCGUGGUGUAGCGGUGAAAUGCAUAGAUAUCACGCAGAACCCCGAUUGCGAAGGCAGCAUACCGGUGCACAACUGACGCUCAGGCACGAAAGCGUGGGUAUCGAACAGGAUUAGAUACCCUUGUAGUC